RNAcentral lists this ribosomal RNA (389 nucleotides) under uncultured bacterium. RNAcentral describes it as "bacterial SSU rRNA". It matches the Rfam family "Bacterial small subunit ribosomal RNA", at positions 364 to 770 of the family's 1533-position model. The record is from RNAcentral.
UUGGGCAAUGGGCGAAAGCCUGACCCAGCAACGCCGCGUGAGGGAUGAAGUAUUUCGGUAUGUAAACCUCGAAAGAAUGGGAAGAAUAAAUGACGGUACCAUUUAUAAGCUCCGGCUAACUACGUGCCAGCCGCCGCGGUAAUACGUAGGGAGCAAGCGUUGUCCGGAUUUCCCGGGCGUAAAGGGCGCGUAGGCGGCGCGGUAAGUCACGUGUGAAAUCUCUGGGCUUAACUCAGAACGGCCAAGUGAUACUGCUGUGCUAGAGUGCGGAAGAGGCAGCCGGAAUUCUUGGUGGAGCGGUGAAAUGCGUAGAUAUCAAGAGGAACACCUGAGGCGAAGGCGGGUUGCUGGGCCGACACUGACGCUGAUGCGCGAAAGCCAGGGGAGCA